ACUCAAAUGAAUAGACGGGGGCCCGCACAAGCGGUGGAGCAUGUGGUUUAAUUCGACGCAACGCGAAGAACCUUACCAGGGUUUGACAUCCCUUGACUGCUAUAGAGAUAUAGUGUUCAGCUUGCUGACAAGGAGACAGGUGGUGCAUGGCUGUCGUCAGCUCGUGUCGUGAGAUGUUGGGUUAAGUCCCGCAACGAGCGCAACCCUUAUUCUUAGUUGCCAGCAUUUAAGGUGGGCACUCUAAGGAGACUGCCACGGAUAACGUGGAGGAAGGUGGGGAUGACGUCAAGUCAUCAUGCCCUUUAUAUCCUGGGCUACACACGUGCUACAAUGGUUCGUACAGAGGGAAGCAAAGCCGCGAGGUGGAGCCAAUCCCAGAAAGCGGACCUCAGUUCGGAUUGGAGUCUGCAACUCGACUCCAUGAAGCAGGAAUCGCUAGUAACCGCAGAUCAGCAUGCUGCGGUGAAUACGUUCCCGGGCCUUGUACACACCGCCCGU
This 498-nucleotide ribosomal RNA is filed under the name uncultured bacterium. RNAcentral's name for it is "bacterial SSU rRNA". It matches the Rfam family "Bacterial small subunit ribosomal RNA", at positions 899 to 1397 of the family's 1533-position model. The record is from RNAcentral.